This is a non-coding RNA of Podarcis lilfordi (Lilford's wall lizard), 73 nucleotides long. Lineage: Eukaryota; Metazoa; Chordata; Lepidosauria; Squamata; Lacertidae. The record is from the annotation of a GenBank genome assembly.
GAAGCAUGGCUCACGGGUAGAGCAUUUGUUUUUGCAUUCAGAAGGGUCCCAGGUUCAAUCCCUGACAUAUUCA